CGCACUUGUGCUUGUUUUUGUUUAGUUUGUGAACAAAGACAUAGACAAAGUGCAAAAAAUAAAUCCUCUUUUGCAACCCAGAACUCAUGGCUCAGUAUGAGUUUUGAUACAGAUAAGAAGGAACAAG
This is a non-coding RNA of Ailuropoda melanoleuca (giant panda), 127 nucleotides long. The record is from Rfam. Lineage: Eukaryota; Metazoa; Chordata; Mammalia; Carnivora; Ursidae.